UCUCAUAGUCUGAUGAUGUCCCGGU
This 25-nucleotide non-coding RNA is filed under the name Cricetulus griseus (Chinese hamster). Lineage: Eukaryota; Metazoa; Chordata; Mammalia; Rodentia; Cricetidae. The record is from RNAcentral.